GUGAGGAAUAUUGGGCAAUGGGCGAAAGCCUGACCCAGCCACGCCGCGUGAGUGAUGAAGGCCUUCGGGUUGUAAAGCUCUGUGGGGAGGGAAGAAAAAGCGGGAGAGUAACUGCUCUCGUGUUGACGGUACCUCCUUAGCAAGCACCGGCUAACUCUGUGCCAGCAGCCGCGGUAAUACAGAGGGUGCAAACGUUGCUCGGAAUUACUGGGCGUAAAGCGCGUGUAGGCUGACAUGCAAGUCGGGUGUGAAAUCCCAGGGCUCAACCUUGGAACUGCACUCGAAACUGCACGUCUUGAGUACUGGAGAGGGAAGCGGAAUUCCGGGGGUAGAGGUGAAAUUCGUAGAUAUCCGGAGGAACACCAGUGGCGAAGGCGGCUUCCUGGACAGUAACUGACGCUGAGACGCGAAAGCGUGGGGAGCAAACAGGAUUAGAAACCCGGGUAGUCC
Molecule: ribosomal RNA, 450 nt
Filed under: uncultured bacterium
Lineage: Bacteria
Description: partial 16S ribosomal RNA
Rfam family: Bacterial small subunit ribosomal RNA
Source: RNAcentral